AGGGCACCAAGCAGAAAUGGUAUGGUUGCUAAGGAGGCGGGCCUGUGGCAGUAGUCAUCCACUGUCGCCAGAGUGAUUUGUGACGUUGCUUUUAUUCUGUAAGAUUGUGUACCUAGCACAGAUUAGUCCUAGGCAAUAAAAGCAAGAGCUUUUAGCCUGGUUUAGAAUCUAACAGCCUGGUUUAGAAAGACUGGCAAUACCCAUAGGUGCCAUGAUGAAAGUAGGUGCCAGAGCACAAAGAAGGGUCACAAGAUUCAGGCUGGAUGAUCAAAGAGGGCUGCCUGGAGGAGGAAGCCCUUGAGGAGAAUUGGUGUGGAAUUGGUGCAGUUGAGGGGCUACUGCUACUUCAGGAAACUGCAGCCUAGGGAAGCUGGUAAUCCCAGGUAGAGGCCGGAUGAGAGCGCAUUCCCUGCUCCCACACCAGCCAUCUCUCCUGCGCUGACACCUUCAUCUUCCUGUGAGGAAGGACUCCACGUUCUGGCUCUGAUCCUGGCCUAGGCGCUGGACGACGUUGUGCUCUUAGACGCCUUAGAUCUAUCCUGCUUGUACCUGGUUUCCUCCCUUAAGGAACUGGAACUGUGGUCAUUCUUCACGGAGACGAUAUAAUUCAGAUAUAUUCAGGGACCUUCUUCCAAGGUUGUCAUCUAAUUGUGAUGGGAGCUGCCAUAACACGUCACAAGACAGGUACACGGCAGACACUCAGAGUUGAAGGUGCAAGCGAAAACCGGAAGCAAGCUGGGCUUUCUACCACUGAGGAAAAUAUAUCAAGAUGCCUGGGAAGAAAUCCUGAGCUUCUGCCUCAGCUCACAUCUUGUAAGCCACAUCACAUGAAGGUGACAUGUCUUAGGCUCCUCUGGGCUGCAAUUGUUCCUCCGACUUUCCUUGUUUUUGAUGAUCUCCCUCCUUCCUGGACAGAAAAAGAAGAAGGAAAAAAAAAAGAACAAGCAGACAACAGCUACCAUGCUGGUGCUGGGCUUCACCUGCUGGACUCUGAACUUUCUCGGCCUCAACUCUGCCUCUUCUCAGCAUAGCUAACAAUCUGCCCUAACCUAUGACUUACUCCAAAUCCUAAGAACCAGAUUCCCUGAUCCUGCAUUCACCUGGUUCCCAGUCAUGCGGGCAGGUCAUAUCCUAACGUUGGCUGAGUGCCCUCUGUAAUGGAACCGCCCAUCAUCUCCUUGUCUGGACAGCCAGAUCCUGACCCUGCCACCCCUCAGAAGGCUCCCUGGAAGCAGGGCUCAUACCCCCCCACACCCCGGGAUCCUUAGCACCCAACAGGGCGUGGCCCAGCAAACCCUCGUUGAAGGCAUGAAUGUCCUGCUCUCUUGUGAGGCCCACACCUAGUUAUGACAAAGUAGAGCAAAGGGAGGUGGAGGUGCUAAGAGGACAAACGGUGUGAGAGAGUGUCCUUCUAAACUACCUGAGGUGGGGGGGUGUCUUUCUAUCUUGACUGAUGCCAGUUCUUUAGAGAUGCCAUAGAUAAGAUCUGAGCUGUGGCCUGCCCAGGCCAGAGCAGGGAAAACUGGUCUUAGCACUUCAAAGAGAACUUCAGGAUCAGACAAAACUGACUUAGCUAAACCAGGGAACAAGACAUUCAUUCAUUCAUUCAUUCAUUAACAUGUAUUGAGUACCAUGUGUGUCAGGUUCUAUGCUGGGCACCCAGAGAUAUAAUAGUGAAUGAGACACACUCUCUACUCUCAAAAUGCUUAGAGUGAGGAAGACAAACUAGGGAGCCUGUCUUUACGGAGUAUGGUGUGUGCUGAAAUAACGGUAGCUAGUGUUUAUUGAAUGCUCACUAUGUGCCAGACUGCAUUAAGCCAUUGACCAUGAAUUGUGUCAUAUAAUCUUCAUAGGUACUCUGUUAGGAAGUACUAUUAUUGUCUCUAUCUUACAGAUGAGGAAAUGGAAGCACAGAGAGGUUGAGCAACUUGCCCAAGAUCACACAGCUCAGACAAGUGGCAUACCUAGAAUUUCUAUCCAGAUAGUUUGACUCCAGGGCCUGUGCUUCUGCUCCUCCCCUAGAAUAGUUAUGAUUGUGGAUGACACAGGACACUAUUGGGGCCCAUAAAAGUACACCACCUAUGUGACAAGGACAUCCAGAACCAUUCAGAGACUGUAACUUGUGUUGAUAUGUCGGCAGGGAGUGAAGACUGGGGAGAGAAGAGGUAAAAUGAUCAGUAGGCACCAGUUCACAAAGGUCUUUAGAAGCCAGGUUGAGGGGGCACGACUUUAUCCUGAGGAUAGUGGGGAAAUGCUGAAGCAUAAGCAGGAGCAUUUCACAAUUGGAUGGCCCUUCAGAAAGCUCAGUUUUAACUGUACUUUGGAGAAGGAAAGGAGUCAAGCCACACUGGAGUCUGUUAUAGUUGUUCAAUUAGAGACACUGGCGGCCUGAAGCGUGGACUGGCCGUGGCCCGAGAGAGAAGCAGCUUGAAUGCUGCCUACGUACCCACUCAUCACAAACUAGAGCAAAGGGAGGCAGAGGCGCUGAGAACACACACUGUGUGAGAGCAAUUUCUCUGCUGUAGGGAAAGUCAACACUGAGCCUGAAGACGGUGGGGAGUGAGAUACCUAGAUGGCCCCAGAGGGUUGAGGGUCAAGGGUCGGCACUGGUCCAACAUCAGGCAAUGGGCCAGUGUCUAAACUGGCAAGAGGGUGGUAGAAGAAAAAUCCGGUCUGAGGGGGUAGGGACCCAGCGAUAGGAAGAAGAAGCCAAUGAAAGGACUCCAGCCCCUGGAGAACUGGAUGGAGAAAGAGGAUUUUCCACUGGGCCACUGGGGACAGGGGAGACUGUGGGAAACCAGGACCAGGAACCUGGGUCCCUGAGGCUGUCCCAGGUUAGCAGUGAGACUGAGGAUGCUCAUCGGUAAGACAGGGAUUCAGAGUUUCUUCCAUGGCCCUCUCUCCCCACCUCUACCGGGUGGUUCCUAAUUAAUCAGGUCUGUCUUCAAAGUUAGUGGGAGGGAGCCGUGCGGUAAAUGGGAAAGAGCAGCGCUUCAACGUUAGAGAGAUUGAGGUUUGAACCUCAUCUGGAGCCACUUACUAGAUCUAAGGCUCCAGGCAACGUACUUAACCUUUCUGAGCCUCAGUUCAUUCCAUCUGUGACACGAGGACAACAAUAUCUACUCCGUGGGGCUAUUGAGUGGGAAUCACAGCACCUACUGCCCCGGGUUAUUGUGAGGUUGUGGGAGUUGGCAUGUGAAAGGCCAGGAUGGGUGCUGAGUCGGUCCUCAACUUUUCUCCUUUAUCAGAAGUCAUCUGCCAGCUGGGCCCUGGGCUGAAGGUUUUGGGUGCUCAUUAGCCCCUUCUUCACAAACGUUGGGAAAUAAGACUCUCCCCAUCUUGUGAGCCAGGAAACAGUGCUGUCUGUGAAGUGUCUGAGCUUGAGAUUUCUCUCUCUCUGCCAAAAAGGGAGAUUAGCACAUAUUAAAAAGCUGUUAAAGACACAUUAGCGGUAAACUGAGACCCUCUCUUUAGCAUAAUCAGAAAAAUAAAAAGAAUUGAAAAGAAACUUAGUUUCAGGGUUUUUUUGUUUUAGUGUGUGUGUGUAUAUAUGUAUGAAAUUUUAUUAACGUACAAAUGAUUUAUAAUGUGUUACUUUCUGUUAUAUCAAAGUGAUUCAAUUUAUUCUUUGUCCCAUUCUUUCCCAUUAUGGUUUAUUAUAGGAUAUUGAACAUAGUUCUCUGUGCUAUAUAGUGAGACCUUGUUGUUUGUGCAUUCUACAUAUAAGAGUUUGCAUCUGCUAAUCCUCAACUCCCAAUCCCUCCCCCCCACCUCCCCUUUCCCUUGGCAACCACGUCUGUUUUCUGUAUCCGUGAGUCUGAGAAACUUACUUUUUCACUGCGUAAUUUAACGUCACAUCCUUGAGCUACCUAAAAUCAUCUUGCCUCCUCAAGCUAAGUUAGGUGACUUGUCCAAUGUCAUAUAGCUAGGUAGUGGCAGCCUGGGGCUGGAACGCGGGCUUCUUUUUUUUCCAGCAGUAAAUAAUUAGCAGGGAAAAAAGUUUUCAUUGAAACCCAAACCUGAAACAAUGUAACCUAUGUUUUAUCUAGAUUUUAUAUAUCCCUCUUCUAUCUCAAAAAAGAAAGAAUCAGGCAAUUUUAAUAUUUGAAUAUUAAAAGAUUUUAUAUACAUUUAGUUAACGGUAUCUUUUAGAAUAUUUUCUCUUCAUUUUCAAAUUCAGGCUUCUUAACUUCUAAUGCUUUGUUCUUUCUACUACACCAUAGUUCUCUUUGCAAUCAUUAUUUUAAAUUAGGUCAAGUGCCUAGUGUGUGUGCUAGGCAGCUCUGUUACAAAUUCAUAAAGCACAGAUUUUAUAGCUGGAAAAAAACCUCAGAAAUUAUCUAAUCCAGGAGUUUCCUGGUGGCCUAGCAGGUUGAGGAUCCAGCAUUGUCACUGCUGUGGUGCAGGAUCAAUCCCUGGCCUGGGAACUUAUGCAUGCCGAGGGCGCUGCCCAAAAAACCCCCAACAAAAUGAAAUAAUCUAAUCCAACUCAUGUCAAAGCAGAGCAAAGGGAAGUGGAGGUGCUAAUAAGGGAAGAACUGAGAUAUCAAGAAUCUUGGUUUAAACUCAUGAUUAGAGGAAGUUUGAUCCUGAUCCAAACUCAUGUCCUUUAACAUAUGAGAAACCCAAUGUGUGUGUGUGUGUGUUUUAGGGCCACACCUGUGGCAUACGGAGGUUCCCAGUCUAGGGGUCCAAUCAGAGCUACAGCUGCCAGGCUAUAUCACAGCCACAGCAAUGUGGGAUCCAAGCCA
Non-coding RNA from Sus scrofa (pig), 4751 nucleotides. The record is from RefSeq and is a predicted model, not a curated record. Lineage: Eukaryota; Metazoa; Chordata; Mammalia; Artiodactyla; Suidae.